GUCAACGCAGAGUUCUCGGAUGACCAUCCAGGACCCUUAAAUUACAUCAAACUUAUAAUAGAAUAUGUACCAAUAGAAUUGAAUAUAAAUUAUUCAGUAUUAUUACUUUUAUGUACACGAAAAUUUUUGGAAUGUUUGCAGUUAGUCGGUACGUUAGCCGAUACGUUAGUCAAACCGUUAACUGAUGCCGUAGAAGACACAGUAGGUGGCCUAGGAAGAAAAUAAGUAAAAUGUCUUUAAAUAAAAACGAAAAAAAUGUUAUGUGGGACAACUUCCAUUGUUGACACAUAAUAAUGCACUGUUAUUAAACAUUCUACCUAUGAAAAAAUGCACCCACUACCAUCUUUACUACUAUUACAUAAUUCUUAAAUGCACUGUUUCUUUCUAAACAUGCUGAAUAUUAAAAUGUUGCAUGUAUUUUGCACCUGAAAUAAAUAUAUAAUAUAUCAAGCAAUUAAA
Molecule: long non-coding RNA, 459 nt
Organism: Temnothorax curvispinosus
Lineage: Eukaryota; Metazoa; Arthropoda; Insecta; Hymenoptera; Formicidae
Exons: 2
Source: RefSeq, a predicted model, not a curated record